UCGUCUUGAUCUUUAUAACUCAUUUUCAUCUUGUGUAUUUUGAGGAGUGGUUGGUUUUCUCUCCUCUGUUAGUCCAAUUGUGGACUUUCUUUGUAAAAUUGGCUUUUUGCCCUGGUUAAUAAUAUUGCCUGUUUAAAAAUAAAAAAUAAAAAAAAAAAGUUUGGAAUUGGCAGUGUAGAAAUGAACAGUGAUUUGGGCUAAAUUUCAUUUUAUUUACGAGGCUGCCACUGACUCUCUCUGCUGUUGAUCAUGAUGCCCGCGUGUUGAUGAUCGUGGAAAGGCAGGGUGCGAUCGUCACUUUACCAUUCUCUUCCUCCCCUCUUUCUCUCUCCCUCGGAUCCCAUUCUCUUCAUUACUCUCUCUAUCUCCCUCAGUUUCAAUCGGCUCACCUAAAAUCCCCGGAUCGAACAUCCUCCAUCUCUAAUAAAAAAACCUUCCCCCUUCAGAACCCAUAGAAUCAGCACUCUUGGAAUAAUCAUGGAUUUUUGUUGAGAGUCGACCUUCAGGUGAUAAAAUCGUGAUGUGACCAUCGUAUUAUCUCUCACGGCUCACAACGAUGAAAUCGCACAGGGCUUCGUUGAUUUCUGUCAACUCCGACAACGACCAGCGUCGUGUAAGCUAUCAAUUACACAUUCCAGUUUGAUUGUAUGUGUUUUGGAUGCAUCUUGAUUUCCUUAGUAUGAUUAGACGAUUCGGAUGCGCCUAGCCUAAUAAACAAACUAAUCUGCCUCGCGCGUUCAGUCAUCUCCUUCCUUCGUCUAAAACCUCACACAGAGACAGAGAUCCCCCAAAACCCUAAACGCCCAAAGUAUUAAUCACAAAGUUACGUAGCUGAAAUUGCAAACGCUAUCAUGGCUGGCUUCAAAAAUUUAAGCUUGAAAUUUUUAGGUUCUGUUUGGUUGUUGGGAAAACUGAAUCGAAGAAUUUUUUUUUUGUUGUUUUGUUUGUUUGUUUGUUUUGUUUUAUUAAUUAUCUCGGAAACGUAGUUGAUUGUUGUGUUUCUGAAAAUGGGAAAACAGAAGAAGAAGGUGUUUGUGAAGUCAGUUUCGAUGAAGAAGCAGGCUAAUAUUGACCAUAUCACGGGAUAAAAUCCCAAGGAGCUUUGUGUUUUCCAGAUGCAAGUUACCUGGUCUUCUGAAGCAGCUUCAAGCUGAUUUGAGGAAACUGAUGCUUCGCUACACUGCCCUUAAGCUUAAGGAGAAGAGGCGGAACAAUCUUAAAGACUUUUUGAAUGUGGCUGGGCCUAUGGGGGUUACACAUUUCCUCAUGUUGUCGAAAACUCCAACUGCGCCAUACCUUAGAUCCUGAUUGACAAGGAAGAACAGAAACGGAUAUAACAACAAUGGGACCAAAUGGGAGAUCCAAUGAAAAAAAAAGCAGCAAUGGAUAAACCGAGAGCUAUAGAUUUCAACUGCCUCACAACCGCCGCCAGAGAGGUCAGAUUGUCCAGAGCGCUGCCUCUUCCUCCGCCAACACUGCUGUGUCAGAUGUUAAGCUGCAGCUCCAGGGGGACCACAGCAAUGGCUUCAAUCCCAUCUCCACUUCUGCUUCUGGAGUUUGUCAGGGAGAAAGUUUGUGAACGAAAGAAAUCUAAUCAAGAGGCUGGGUUAAUUUGAUUCUUGAUCAAUGAUUGGAUAUUAUAUUACAAUAGUGGGUUCUGUUUUUAGGGCUGGAUGAAAAGAACCACCUAUCAGAGCUUUCAACAACUCGAAGGGAGUAUAUACUUUGUAUGCCAUUGAUAGGGAAUGGAUACGUAAUUAGAUCAAUUGAUGGGUGCCGCUGUUUUGGAUAUCUACAUCCAGCAAUACCUGGUAUUCUGUGUUUUGUUGUUUUAGCUCAGUGUUUUGUUGUAAUGGAUUGGAAUUUCUACUAGAAUCAUUAUUAUUAUUAUAUAUUUAGGGGUUGGGUAAAUUGAUUUUAGAGAUUUUGUAUGUGGUUUGGGUUCUUUGAUUUUGUUUAGAUAGAUGGUGCUUGAUUGUGGUUUAAGUUUUUUUAGUAUAUUCCCAGCACAUUGCAAAAUUCUGGUACUAUUUGGGUGUUUUGGUGUUGAAAGCCUAGGGUUUAGGGUUUAGCGUUUAGCAUUUAGGGGAAUGAAAAGAAGGGAUGUCUGCGUUUCUGAAAUCUUAUGCAAAUCUAAUUUGAAAUCAUGAAACACAUUUCCUAUGUUUCUCAAAUCUCAGCAACAGGUUUUAGAAUCCUGAAAUCUAAGUGAAGGUACAUCAUUCCUAUUUUCGUGUUUUUUUAAUUCCCAUCAUCAUGGCCACGGUUAAACAUGAAUAUGCAUGCCAACCUUGCAUACUCAGUUAUUAAUUUCUGGAUGAAUUUUUCUUUAGACGAGGGUUUGCAGAUAUGAAUACUUGAGGGGCAGAUGGUCACCCCCAUGUUGGAUCCAUUGAUACUGAUACAACUUGGGAUGUAGUUGGUUAUGUUCAAAUCAGAAAUAAAAUUGUUGUGUAUAUUCCGCAUUUGAUUGAAAAUCUGUAAUUUUAUGAAUCAUUUAUUCGAAUUUAAUUUCAGUUAAAUAGAAAUUCUUCUUCUUCGAUAUCACUGUGCGCAACACAUAAUUUCAAUUAGUUUUUUUUUUGUAAGAUUCCGUAUAAUUAACCUCUACAAUUUUAUUCACAUGUUCAUGGUGACCACUUAAUUAAUUAGUGAUUGGGUGUUGACCACUGAAUGUUUUUUUUUUCAGUUCGAAGCUUGAAUCUCACCGAGCUUCAGUUAUUGUUUCAAAGGGUGAAAAAGAGUGGGGGACACGGGAAGAGGGGAGAAAGAGGACAAAAGAAUGGUUUGUGCUACUUUCAAUGCUUUGGGUUAAAAAAAGAACAAAGAGCAUGUGGUGUGGAAACACACCAGCGAAGCCUCACUUUCGAUGUCGAACUCAAGUGUGACUCUAAUCUAGCCCCCGAAAUUCCAACAUAGCAUGUAGCAAUGCUAAUGUUUUCCUGUGUGAUCUUCAUACAAAGGUGCAAGACAUAUGAGCUUCUAAUCAAGAAAGACCUGCUUUUAAAUCCCACUGUGUGUUUAAAGUGCUGGAUGGGUUGUGCUUUUACCGACCCUAAUAAAAUUAUAUUUGAAUCAUGCUGUCUGAUAACUCUUUCUUUUUUUUCCUGUUUGUGGUUUUUAGUCUUUGUCAUUUAAUUGGUGUAGCUUUGCUAGGAUCUCUGUUCCGGCAGUGUGUGAUUAGUGCUAAAGGAAUUUCAGCGCUGUUUCUGAGCUA
Molecule: RNA transcript, 3217 nt
Organism: Pyrus x bretschneideri (Chinese white pear)
Lineage: Eukaryota; Viridiplantae; Streptophyta; Magnoliopsida; Rosales; Rosaceae
Gene name: casparian strip membrane protein 2-like
Exons: 11
Source: RefSeq, a predicted model, not a curated record